ACACGUUUGAGUCUGAGAUUCUUUCCACGUGGAGGCUAAAAGCAGACAGAAGAGCCAGUCAGUCACAGAUUUAUGAUCAAUAAUCUUACCGUUCUUGUUCUUUUUGUUCUGUUCUUCGUCUCCUCCGGGGAUGCCAGGGAUUCCCAGGAAGGUGUUGUGGGAGUUUCCAUACCAGACCAGCAGUUCCUGGUCCGGAGGGAUCGUCUGAGGAGGAACACAUGGAGGUUAGCCUUAAAAACAAAAAUCACUGGAGGAGGCCAGAGGACACCAGUCCCUCUGAAUGUGUCGGGAAGAGGAUCAAUGGAGCGCGUUUGUUCCUCAGGAAACCAGUAAUAUGUUUCAGCCAGCAGAGGGCGACACACACCUGAGCUCCUCUGAGAGCCGCGGAGGGCGACGCGGGCAUGAGACUGAAGAGGAGUUGGUGUCGGAACGUGUGUGCUGACUCAGCAGACAGACGCGAUGUGUUCACUGACCUCCACGGCCUUGUAGAAGAUGCUGCUGCCGAUCUGAACCACCUCCAGGUUCUGCUCUUGCUCGUUCCUCGCGCACUUAAUGUCGAUGUGUUCAGGUGAGAUGAGGCGUCCUGUGAACGGUCCCAUCUCUGUUCCUGCUUUAAUCCACGUUUUGGAGAAGAUGCCCAAACCUUCACCUGAAAGACACCAACGCAGGUGUGAUCUGCUGUGGCACAAAGCCACCAGACAGGAGGCAGAAUACAGUCAUCCAACACACAAUUUACUUCAGCUCAGUUUAUUUAAAUGGUGUCAAUUCACAAUUCCAAUUAGAGCAGGUGGAGACCAAACGCUGAGGUUGCAGGGACAUUGAAGGCAUCGCAUUAGUUUCUUUGUGUUUCCUGCAGAUUUAAUCCAAAUGUUUGUUGUCUCCUUCAGUUUGUGUUUGUCUCUGACCGACACUGAAGAGAAAACUGCUUGGUAAUGUUGACUGGAUGCAGGCCAAAUCAUUUCAGUCAUUCAUUUAUUAUUUAAACAGACGCGCAGUUCGCCGCACAGCCGUCCAGACCAAGCGACACCCAAAUAUACAAAUACGGAUUCACGACAAGAUUUCAUAAAACAUAUCUAAUCAUUCUUGACAUUUUGUUGUAAUUUUCGUGCGGAAUAAAAAAAGAGACUGGAGACGGAGGACAGCUUACCUGGGACCGAACUCUGAGCGAUGAUCACCUCACUGGGUAAAACCAAACUGGACAACUUCUGGACCUCUGAACACAAACACAAUUCAAAUUUACUGAUUUUCAUUUUUAGACAAGUCUGACAUUUUUUCUGAAAAACUGCUGACUGUUAAAAAAAUAAAACGUUGAUCGUGGCUGAAAUCAAAAGCUGGAAUAUGGCAGAAAAGUCUUUAAAAAGCCAACCGCAUUUAGGUUUUUGCAGAUGAACAUCUGACCUGAAGCGCGCGGUGUGCUGAGCGCACAAACCGCUUCGUUAAAUGUCCUCCUGCCAGUUUGUCUAAUUCAGGACGGCUUUUAGGAAGCAUGACAUCCAAAGUAACAGAGAGGGGACAGACAGGAGACAAGUCCGACAGACGGGACGAAAAUGAAAUAAAUGGAAUUAUAAAGUAUAUAAA
Long non-coding RNA from Scatophagus argus, 1578 nucleotides. RefSeq lists it as uncharacterized. The record is from RefSeq and is a predicted model, not a curated record. NCBI's taxonomy places the organism in Eukaryota, Metazoa, Chordata, Actinopteri, Scatophagidae. The transcript has 3 exons.